UGGGGAAUUUUGCACAAUGGGGGAAACCCUGAUGCAGCGACGCCGCGUGAUUUAGAAGGCCUUCGGGUUGUAAAAAUCUUUUCUAUGGGAAGAAAAUGACAGUACCAUAGGAAUAAGGACCGGCUAAUUACGUGCCAGCAGCCGCGGUAAUACGUAAGGUCCGAGCGUUGUCCGGAAUCAUUGGGCGUAAAGGGUACGGAGGCGGGUGAGCAAGUUAGAGGUGGAAUCCUAUAGCGCAACUAUAGUAAGCUUUUAAAACUGAUCAUCUUGAGGGAUGGAAGGGAAAGUGGAAUUCCUCGUGUAGCGGUGAAAUGCGCAGAUAUUAGGAGGGAUACCGGUGGCGAAGGCGACUUUCUGGCCAUAACCUGACGCUGAGGUACGAAAGAGUGGGUAGCAAACAGG
This 402-nucleotide ribosomal RNA is filed under the name bacterium. Its description in RNAcentral is "partial 16S ribosomal RNA". It matches the Rfam family "Bacterial small subunit ribosomal RNA", at positions 355 to 776 of the family's 1533-position model. The record is from RNAcentral.